UACGUAGGGACCAAGCGUUGUUCGGAUUUACUGGGCGUAAAGUGUGCGCAGGCGGCCGAGCAAGUCGAGUGUGAAAGCCCCGAGCUUAACUUGGGAACUGCGCUCGAAACUACUUGGCUAGAGUGUGGCAGAGGGAGGUGGAAUUCCACGUGUAGCGGUGAAAUGCGUAGAGAUGUGGAGGAACACCGAUGGCGAAGGCAGCCUCCUGGGCCAACACUGACGCUCAUGCACGAAAGCGUGGGGAGCAAACAGG
RNAcentral lists this ribosomal RNA (253 nucleotides) under uncultured bacterium. RNAcentral describes it as "partial 16S ribosomal RNA". It matches the Rfam family "Bacterial small subunit ribosomal RNA", at positions 524 to 776 of the family's 1533-position model. The record is from RNAcentral.